GGCGCUGUGGCGGAGUGGUCCAACGCCAAAGACUCGAAUGAAUGUUCCAUGGCAUCUUUUCCCUUCGGGGGCACCGGUUCGAAUCCGGUCGGCGUGG
Molecule: non-coding RNA, 97 nt
Organism: Claviceps cyperi
Lineage: Eukaryota; Fungi; Ascomycota; Sordariomycetes; Hypocreales; Clavicipitaceae
Source: the annotation of a GenBank genome assembly